UACGUAGGGUGCAAGCGUUGUCCGGAAUUAUUGGGCGUAAAGAGCUCGUAGGCGGUCUGUCGCGUCGGCUGUGAAAUCCCGAGGCUCAACCUCGGGUCUGCAGUCGAUACGGGCAAACUAGAGUAUUGCAGGGGAGACUGGAAUUCCUGGUGUAGCGGUGAAAUGCGCAGAUAUCAGGAGGAACACCGGUGGCGAAGGCGGGUCUCUGGGCCGUAACUGACGCUGAGGAGCGAAAGCAUGGGGAGCGAACAGG
RNAcentral lists this ribosomal RNA (253 nucleotides) under uncultured bacterium. RNAcentral describes it as "partial 16S ribosomal RNA". It matches the Rfam family "Bacterial small subunit ribosomal RNA", at positions 524 to 776 of the family's 1533-position model. The record is from RNAcentral.